CAGGAUGAAUGGUAACAUAUUGCUGAGCCCAGCAAGCAGAUGAUGUCACUUUCCUCUCCUGCCUGGAAUCUGCUCAGCGGGGGAGAGUUGCAUAUCGCUGGGCCCAGCACCUAUAACAUGAAGGGAUUGCUAAAAUUUAAGGUGGGAUUGUGACAUACCUAGGCCUAGCUCACAGGUGUGAUGAUGACUGUCAUAUGUGGACCCAACCAACAGAAAAGAUUUUGACUCUCAUGGCUAGAAUUAGGGGAAUAGGGAAUGAAAAUGCCCUUGAAGAGUAAAAAUAAAGUGACUGCUGAUUAAGCAGAGUUUCACAUGAAAAAAGCCAAUGGAUGAAAAAACUGAUGAAGAGAAGACACAUUUGGUUCUUACUUACACUUCACUUCCACUCACUAUUUGUCAGUGUGGAUAGAGCUGAGAACAGCAGUUUCCUGGCAGGACAGCCACUUGUCAG
RNAcentral lists this long non-coding RNA (451 nucleotides) under Homo sapiens (human). RNAcentral's name for it is "long non-coding RNA NONHSAT180272.1". Lineage: Eukaryota; Metazoa; Chordata; Mammalia; Primates; Hominidae. The record is from RNAcentral.